GUGCUUUUUUCGGCAGCGUAUAUACUAAAAUUGCAAUGAUACAGAGAAAAUUAGCAUGGCACCUGGGUAAGGAUGAUAGGAAAACUCAUGAAGUAUUCCAUAUUUUU
Small nuclear RNA from Vombatus ursinus (common wombat), 107 nucleotides. Lineage: Eukaryota; Metazoa; Chordata; Mammalia; Diprotodontia; Vombatidae. The record is from Ensembl.